RNAcentral lists this ribosomal RNA (590 nucleotides) under uncultured euryarchaeote. Its description in RNAcentral is "bacterial SSU rRNA". It matches the Rfam family "Archaeal small subunit ribosomal RNA", at positions 851 to 1441 of the family's 1478-position model. The record is from RNAcentral. Lineage: Archaea; Methanobacteriati; Methanobacteriota.
GAAACUUAAAGGAAUUGGCGGGGGAGCACUGCAACGGGUGGAGCGUGCGGUUUAAUUGGACUCAACGCCGGAAAACUCACCGGAGGCGACGGUUACAUGAAGGCCAGGCUGAUGACCUUGCCUGAUUUUCCGAGAAGUGGUGCAUGGCCGCCGUCAGUUCGUACCGUAAGGCGUUCUGUUAAGCCAGAAAAACGAACGAGACCCUCAUCUUUAAUUGCUACUAUCAAGUCUGCUUGAUAGGCACAUUAAAGAAACCGCUGGCGAUAAGUCAGAGGAGGGCGAGGGCAACGGUAGGUCAGUAUGCCCUGAAUCCUCCGGGCUACACGCGCGCUACAAAGGCUAGGACAAUGGGUUCCGACACCGAAAGGUGAGGGUAAUCCCGAAACCUAGUCGUAGUUCGGAUCGAGGGUUGAAACUCACCCUCGUGAAGCUGGAAUCCGUAGUAAUCGCGGAUCAACAUCCCGCGGUGGAUAUGCCCCUGCUCCUUGCACACACCGCCCGUCAAACCAUGCGAGUUGGGGUCUAAGUGAGGAUGUAGUUUUUUGCUGCGUUCAAACUUAGGCUUAGCAAGCGGGGUUAAGUCGUAACAA